RNAcentral lists this ribosomal RNA (393 nucleotides) under uncultured Gillisia sp. RNAcentral's name for it is "bacterial SSU rRNA". It matches the Rfam family "Bacterial small subunit ribosomal RNA", at positions 406 to 794 of the family's 1533-position model. Lineage: Bacteria; Pseudomonadati; Bacteroidota; Flavobacteriia; Flavobacteriales; Flavobacteriaceae. The record is from RNAcentral.
GGAAGACGGCCCUAUGGGCUUGUAAACUGGCUUUUACAGAGGAAGAAACACCCCUUCGUGAAGGGGCUUGACGGUACUCUGCGAAUAAAGAUCGGCUAACUCCGUGCCAGCAGCCGCGGUAAUACGGAGGAUCCAGGCGUUAUCCGGAAUCAUUGGGUUUAAAGGGUCCGUAGGCGGGACAAUCAGUCAGCGGUGAAAGUCUGUGGCUCAACCAUAGAAUUGCCAUUGAUACUGUUGUUCUUGAAUACUUAUGAAGUGGUUGGAAUAUGUAGUGUAGCGGUGAAAUGCAUAGAUAUUACAUAGAACACCGAUUGCGAAGGCAGAUCACUAAUAAUUUAUUGACGCUGAUGGACGAAAGCGUAGGUAGCGAACAGGAUUAGAUACCCUGGUAGA